RNAcentral lists this long non-coding RNA (438 nucleotides) under Oryza sativa aus subgroup. RNAcentral's name for it is "lncRNA OsNaBo_03g0018830". The record is from RNAcentral. Lineage: Eukaryota; Viridiplantae; Streptophyta; Magnoliopsida; Poales; Poaceae.
UUGCUAAGGUUGUCACCAUUUGGAUUUUCUUUUCCACUUUCCCUCAAAGCUUCCAACCGGAGUCUUGCCUGCCAUUCUGGAUACACACUGAGCAAAAACACUGUCCAGUUUCUUGGAGGUCCUGCACCUUUCAAGGGAGUCUCGGGCAAAAGCCCUGCCUGGUAUUCCAGGAUCGGCAACAUCGACGCCUGCGGGUGCCGUAUCCUCCAUGGAGGUGUUGCCUUGCUGACUUUCCCUUUGGGUGAAAACCCUGUCCUUUUUAGGCGGGCGUUGGUAGCGGCUUCCAUCGUUACUUCCCUCCUUGGAGGUUUCGCCUUGAAGGUCUUGCUCCUCUCUCGAUCUGCAGGUGCGUGGACAUACUUUGGCGAAAGAGCAAAGGAGAACUUCUGCAGGAUCAUGGCCAUCACCAACUUUGCUUCUAACAUUGCGAAGUUUUGA